UGAAUGGACGUCUAGACCUACCUU
RNAcentral lists this non-coding RNA (24 nucleotides) under Arabidopsis thaliana (thale cress). Lineage: Eukaryota; Viridiplantae; Streptophyta; Magnoliopsida; Brassicales; Brassicaceae. The record is from RNAcentral.